GACGAACGCUGGCGGCGUGCUUAAUACAUGCAAGUCGAGCGAGGUUACUGUUUUGGAUCCCUUCGGGGUGAAGAAGCUUUAACCUAGCGGCGGACGGGUGAGUAACGCGUGGGUAACCUACCCCAAAGUCCGGGAUAACAGCGGGAAACCGCUGCUAAUACCGGAUGCCUUUACCUUGGGGCAUCUUGAGGUAAAGAAAGGUAACGCCUUUGGGAUGGGCCCGCGUCCCAUUAGCUAGUUGGUGAGGUAACGGCUCACCAAGGCGACGAUGGGUAGCCGGCCUGAGAGGGUGGACGGCCACACUGGGACUGAGACACGGCCCAGACUCCUACGGGAGGCAGCAGUAGGGAAUAUUGCGCAAUGGACGGAAGUCUGACGCAGCGACGCCGCGUGAGCGAUGAAGGUCUUCGGAUCGUAAAGCUCUGUCCUUGGGGAAGAAGGCGAAAGCUUGACGGUACCCAAGAAGAAAGCCCCGGCUAACUACGUGCCAGCAGCCGCGGUAAUACAUAGGGGGCGAGCGUUGUCCGGAAUUACUGGGCGUAAAGGGUGCGUAGGCGGCCCUUUAAGUCGGAUGUGAAAGCCCGCGGCUUAACCGCGGAAUGGCAUUCGAAACUGGAGGGCUUGAGUGUCGGAGAGGGUAGUGGAAUUCCCAGUGUAGCGGUGAAAUGCGUAGAUUUUGGGGAGGAACACCAGUGGCGAAGGCGACUACCUGGACGAUAACUGACGCUGAGGCACGAAAGCUAGGGGAGCAAACAGG
Molecule: ribosomal RNA, 757 nt
Filed under: uncultured bacterium
Lineage: Bacteria
Description: bacterial SSU rRNA
Rfam family: Bacterial small subunit ribosomal RNA
Source: RNAcentral